AGAUAUCAUACCUUUGGUAUCAAUAAUCAGAUCGGUCGAAAAUUGAAGUAAGAUGAAGGAAGAUCGGAUGCAAACCGAGGUGAGCAUUCCACUUAGUAGUAGUUUUGGACUAAGCAAUUAGCAGAUAACACUGGAGAGAUAGAUCGGUCCUGAGUCGAUGUGAGCUGAAAAGACUUUUAUCUUAGAUAACCUGCUGCCACGUGUUCAAGUGAUGCUG
RNAcentral lists this long non-coding RNA (217 nucleotides) under Elaeis guineensis (African oil palm). RNAcentral describes it as "long non-coding RNA (EGUI_LNC016951)". The record is from RNAcentral. Lineage: Eukaryota; Viridiplantae; Streptophyta; Magnoliopsida; Arecales; Arecaceae.